Long non-coding RNA from Mauremys reevesii (Reeves's turtle), 420 nucleotides. RefSeq lists it as uncharacterized. Lineage: Eukaryota; Metazoa; Chordata; Testudines; Geoemydidae. The record is from RefSeq and is a predicted model, not a curated record. The transcript is spliced from 3 exons.
UGAUGGCUGGCAAAGCUGUAUAAAAGGGAGUGCACCAGAAGGGAUUUUUAGGUCUUUAGAAAAAGAGAAGUCAAGGGCAGGAUGAGGAGCAGGAGGAGGAUUUAGAAGAAGGAGAAAUCAGAGGCAACAGCAGAAGAAGCCGCCUCAGAGUGAGCAGCAGCAGUGCGAGCUGCUGGGACAGAGCAGAAAGGACUGACAGAGCAGAGGGAAAGAAGCCACCAGAGAGAGUAAGAUGUUGAAACUGUAUGAAGGAGAUGGGAGGAUCAAGCCCAUAAAUUAGUUACAGUAGUGAGACCCAAGAUUGAAGACAAACUAAUUUAAAGCUGCUCUUAACAGCAACUUCUGUAGAAAAAAAAUGUUGCUGGAAUAAUAUGGAUGAGGAUUCUUGGAUUGCUUCCUGGAGACUCUUAACAAGCGAUG